Molecule: RNA transcript, 1272 nt
Organism: Medicago truncatula (barrel medic)
Lineage: Eukaryota; Viridiplantae; Streptophyta; Magnoliopsida; Fabales; Fabaceae
Gene name: mitochondrial arginine transporter BAC1
Exons: 9
Source: RefSeq, a predicted model, not a curated record
CAAAAAGAUGAUUUUUGUUCGAGACAAGUCAAUUUUAACAUCAUUCCGGCAAGGCGACUGCGGCUGAAUCGAGGAAUUGCAAUCACGACGACAUAUGUAGUAGUUGACAGUUCCAGUUUCUAGCGAAAUGGGCGAGAUUUCAAGUUCUGGGUAUAAGGAUUAUGUCGCUGGGUUACUCGCUGGAGUGGCAGCUGUUGCAACCGGUCAUCCCUUUGACACUGUUAAGGUCAAGCUUCAGACGCACAACACAGAAGCGCAUCUAGUUCAGUACAGAAAUGGAUUGCAUUGCACUGCUAGGAUAUUAAAGACCGAAGGAAUCAAAGGACUUUAUAGAGGAGCAACAUCAUCUUUUGCUGGGAUGGCUUUGGAAGGAUCUCUAUUUUUCGGCAUUUAUUCCCAAACAAAAAAGUACCUUCAGGGGGGCAUGCAAAGCGGUGCACCACGGCCUCAAGUUAUAAUACCAUCUGCAGCUUUUGCCGGUGCCAUAAAUAGUUUUGUAUUAGGUCCAACAGAACUGAUUAAGUGUAGGAUGCAGAUCCAAGGCACCGACUCCUUAGUUCCGAUGUCAAGUAGAUACAGUAGUCCCCUUGAUUGUGCCCUUAAAACUUUACAAAGUGAAGGGGUGAAAGGAAUUUUUCGUGGAAGUGGUACGACAUUGCUUAGAGAAUCUAUAGGGAAUGCUACUUUUUUCAGUGUAUACGAAUACAUGCGUUAUCACAUGCAUUCACGUAUCAAACCCGCUUCUUCGAAUUACAACAAUCUGAUUGAAAUUGGAAUUGGGGUUGUUACUGGUGGUGUUAGUGGUGUGGCUUUUUGGUUGGUAGUUAUGCCCCUUGACGUGGCAAAGACUCUAAUUCAGACAAAUCCUGAUAAAAACUGUCCAAGAAAUCCUUUUACAAUCUUGAGUUCAUUUUUUUGUUUAUGUUUUCUAGAUCUAUAAGAGGACUGGUUUGAAGGGGUGCUAUGCAGGUCUAGGUCCCACGGUAAGUCGAGCAUUUCCUGCUAAUGCAGCAACAAUUGUCACUUGGGAGCUAGCAAUGAAAAUGCUAGGCAUUAGGCAUGACUGAGACAAUACACCAAUAAUACAGCAAAGCUCAAAUACGCUUUCACGAACCUCAUUUUACACACUAGAACAAAGUUGGAUGUAGAGAGGAAAGCUUAUAAUGGAUUGCAUUUGAAGAUCUUCAAAUUUUCAUUUUUUUUUCCUUAAAUUUUUUGCAUGUGUGGACAACAUUUGUAACACCCCGUUUUCCCAAUAUAAAAAUUUCUUAA